This 476-nucleotide long non-coding RNA is filed under the name Zonotrichia albicollis (white-throated sparrow). RNAcentral's name for it is "lncRNA (ENSZALG00000014725.1)". Lineage: Eukaryota; Metazoa; Chordata; Aves; Passeriformes; Passerellidae. The record is from RNAcentral.
UUCAACUACAGCCUUGUUAAAUGUCUCAAUCUUUUUUCUUGUCAUGACUGCUCAGGUAACAUAAACCUCCCUAUCCACAGUAUGUAACUGCAUUAUAUUAACAUUUUCCUUUUUGUGUUUGCUUUUUCUUGGCUUUUCUAAACCAAAAAGGAUAAGUUGAUCUUCUCUUUGACCAGCCAUAAGGGGCAGAAGAGAGGAACAUCCUGUCAAGAUAAACAGGAGGCUUGGCUGCACAGACAGACCCAGGAGAAAUCCUGCUUUUGGAAAUUGCAUUGUGUACUCAGGCUUUGAAUCAACAAGGGAACAGCAACACUGGAUGAUGUGGGCAGAGAGGCUUUGGAAGCUAAAAGCCCUGGAUUGAUGCGCCCUUCUCUACCACACAACACAGAUGUGAACACAUGGCUUUUGGGAACUCCACUCUCAUGGGGAAUCCAGGUGUACAGCCCUAAGGAGCAGCAGAGAUCCCACCCAAGGAG